UACAGGAUCAGUGAAAGGUGA
This 21-nucleotide non-coding RNA is filed under the name Caenorhabditis elegans. The record is from RNAcentral. Lineage: Eukaryota; Metazoa; Nematoda; Chromadorea; Rhabditida; Rhabditidae.